CAAAACUAUAAGCAUUGCUCAUCCAAGUCUCUGUUGUGUUCUCCGGGUCACCAGCUAUAAUCUGGUUUCAACCAUGCCAAUAUAAGCAAACAGAAUUAUAAUAUUUACAUGUUUCAUCAGAUGAAAUCAAGUAACUUCGUCUCCAGAUUACAGAAUUAAACUAAAUGCUUUGCUAUGUAAAACCAAGGACCAGUGUGCUCUAGUAGAAAUGAUGGUUCAAAGCAACUGGAUUAUCUCAUAUAAACAAAAAAGGUCAGGAUGCUCAAUCAACGAGUGGUGAUAUUAGAGGUGUAAAGUCCAAGGCGCUUUUGUGAAGAUUAGACAGAACCUAAUUAGAUUUACACUUGUCUAGGAUAUAUCAAAUCAAAGUGAACAUCCAACAACUGCCUAGACAAACAGAAAAAGGUAAAGCAGAUAUGGCCAAAAGCAAAAUAAACUUGUUUUGUUCAAAACGAA
Molecule: long non-coding RNA, 456 nt
Organism: Brassica rapa (field mustard)
Lineage: Eukaryota; Viridiplantae; Streptophyta; Magnoliopsida; Brassicales; Brassicaceae
Source: RefSeq, a predicted model, not a curated record